This is a regulatory RNA element of Neotoma lepida (desert woodrat), 68 nucleotides long. It matches the Rfam family "Selenocysteine insertion sequence 1". Rfam says of the family: The incorporation of selenocysteine into a protein sequence is directed by an in-frame UGA codon (usually a stop codon) within the coding region of the mRNA. Selenoprotein mRNAs contain a conserved secondary structure in the 3' UTR that is required for the distinction of UGA stop from UGA selenocysteine. The selenocysteine insertion sequence (SECIS) is around 60 nt in length and adopts a hairpin structure which is sufficiently well-defined and conserved to act as a computational screen for selenoprotein genes. The record is from Rfam. NCBI's taxonomy places the organism in Eukaryota, Metazoa, Chordata, Mammalia, Rodentia, Cricetidae.
GCCGCCUUAUGACAGGAAGGACUGAAAUGUCUCGAAGACCUGUGGUCUUUCCUCGAUGUUCCUGCGGC